RNAcentral lists this long non-coding RNA (1418 nucleotides) under Cricetulus griseus (Chinese hamster). RNAcentral's name for it is "lncRNA (ENSCGRG00015020736.2)". The record is from RNAcentral. Lineage: Eukaryota; Metazoa; Chordata; Mammalia; Rodentia; Cricetidae.
CGCACAUUCCUUAGCACGAACUCAGAGGGUCAAGGGCCGGUCAAUGUGCACAUGCAUGUUCGUUCUCCUCUGGCAGCUGUGUUAAGGCCUCAAUCCGGAUAAAACAAAAGCAAUAAUGUAUGUAGGUCUUCCCGAAGCAGCGGUUCAGAAUGAUCCCACACUGUGAGCAAUUCUGCCAAGAAACAGAGAGCUUUUUUGGCCAAUGGCCAGGAAGACCUGCAAGAUGCCUGAAGUAGGACCAGAAAAGCCCUGUACAUGGCCUCUUCAGUAGAGGGAAAAGCUGGGAGUUUGGCAUCCUCAACAACUCCCAUAUGACCACAUGGCAAGACAACUACUUCAGAGAAAUCUGGAGAGGAGAGAGAUGGUGACACAAAAUGAGGCCCAAAUAAAGCAGAUGGGAAGGCUCUACUAAAUGGUUACCCUCAUUUCAUUCAGGUAGGAUUGAGACUGAGGCUCCCCAAACAAAAUCUUAAUGAACAGGAGAGGUCUUGAAAAAUGCCUAUUGAGACUCGGGAAUGUAGAGAGAAAACUUACCAAGCUUACCAGUAUCACACAGUUGUAGAGUCAGGAAGACUAGAUGAUUGAAAUGUGAUAAAGAUGACUGUGAAGGAGAAGUACCCCAGAUAAAUGGAAGAGAUGAUGAGGAACUGAUGAAUGAACUUCUUUUAACUAAGAGUUGCCACACAUAAGGUUUUUCACAACAAAGAGCAAUGCUUAAAGCCAGAAUUCAAGUGCUGCUGGCUUCCUUUGUCCUGGCAUCUGGAAGGAAAGGAAGAAGGCCCAGGCAAAAGAGUAAGGAGAGACAUUCAGAAGACUCAGAAGCCAACACAACAAGGUUCAGGAAACUGAAUGCUUAGAGACUAGAGAGGCCUGUGUCUGUUCCUGAGUGGUGCUGAUGGAAAACGAUGAAGAUCCUGUUGAAGUCCUCAAUCCUGUGUACCUAUGUGAAGGAGAUAAGAUAAUAACCCUUCAAAAUAAUCCUGUUUGAAACAGAAACAUGGAGGCCUCCGUCUUGAACCUAUGUAUCUUCCUCUGAGAAAUCAUGCAAAAGAUUUUCCCCUGGGACAAGAGGGAAAUGGUCUGUGAAAGAAAGAACCUUCUACCUUCCAAGAUGCUGGCUUGUCAAUAGUUUUCAUGACCCACCCUCUCUCCCUAACUUCUUCCACCACUGUUAUUCAUCACUUCAUUCAUAGACUGAGUAGUCAACAGUGACGUGAAUCUUCUGGGAAUACACUGGUUUUUCCCCACGCUUGUAUUUAAUAAACAUGCCCGUGGCUUAGCAUGGGUAAAUCUGAACAGCAUCAGUUGUGUGUUUCUUGGGUGUUGUGUGAAUGACCCAGGCUAUCCCUAACAUUAGAAUCCAGAACUCAUAAAUGCUAAUCCUUAGGGAUAAUGGUAACAUCAUCCUUGCAAUCCAU